Long non-coding RNA from Lytechinus pictus (painted urchin), 2592 nucleotides. RefSeq lists it as uncharacterized. NCBI's taxonomy places the organism in Eukaryota, Metazoa, Echinodermata, Echinoidea, Temnopleuroida, Toxopneustidae. The record is from RefSeq and is a predicted model, not a curated record. The transcript has 3 exons.
UUUUGAAAAAAAAACGAUCAACCACUGUUUCGCUGUUGCAAAGUCCCUCGAUAAUUCAUCAUAAACUAAAGGAACACAGGUCAGAUUCGGACAACGACUUCAAAGUCAUUUGCAGAAUAGGCUAAACAAUUGGACGACGGAUACACUGGAUGAUAAUGUAGAUGGUCCAGGAUUAUCAGGGAAGGAUACUACAGGUGCUGAACACAGAAAACCGUUUACAAGAAAACAACUGGAGUUUGUGAAAGCUUCAAGGAAUUAAUCCUGCUGGGUACCCAUUCACUUUACCUUGCUCGAGUGCAGCAAAGUGUGGAUAAAUGUGUUGCUGAAGGAAAACACCAUUGCUAGGAUUUGAACCCAUGACCCUCUGUUUGAAAGGUGAGAGACAGAACCACUUGACCACGACGCACCCACAAUUUACAAGCUGAUGUCAUAUUCCCACUUGUUCUUUUGUAUUUUAAAACAAGAAGUCCUGUUUAUUCACAUUUUGACCUCCAAGAACUAAAUAGUGGAGUGAAAAUGUAUUUAAUGUGAACAUAUGCAUUGCUGGAAAUCACUUCAUGAUAUGUGGGACAAAUCAUACACACGUGUAUGAAAAUAUGAAAUGAUUAUGAUUUCAUUUAAUUACAUAAGCCUAACAAAUAUUCCUGACGAUCGUGUGCACAUUCCAGUAAUAUUUCCCAAAAUGUUGCUAAACUUUCAAAUUAAAGACUUCGUUAUCAGAUUUUAAUGAAAUUGUCAACAUUAUGCUUUUCUGAUUCAUUCUCUUCCUACCUAAAUCUCCCAUUUUCUCAUGCUUUCUUUCUAUGGUCCCCUUCAUUCUCCUUAUCACUAUGUUAUAGGUAAAAUGUAACCGGUCGUCUAACACAUUUGAUUGAAGGGUUAGGUACUCACAUUUAAAAGUUAUGUGAUUCAAACACACAAAGUGUACAUCAGACAAAAAAAAAACACUGAAAAUUUCAUCAAAAUUGAAUGAGUAUUAACGAAGUUAUGACGAAUUAAUGUUGUUAAUUUUUUUGGUAAAACAAUCAUAAUUUAUAUAUUUUUUUGUAUUAUAUGAAUUCAAAUUUUGUCAGCUAGGUUGUAAGAAUUUACGAUUGACUACUGAUUUACUGUGUAAGACAAUAAUCUUAUUAUUUCUCACACAUAGAUAAGUAAUUCAUCUGAUUCAACACAACAAAAAAGAAACAAGUGUAUCUUGUAUUUAUUGUUUUAUAUAUAUUUUGCAAAAUAUUAGAAAAAGAGGUCUCUAUUUUUCUUCUGUUUUUUUCAGUAUUUCAAAUUGAAUAAUUUCUUUUUCCUAUUUUCAUUAUAUUAUCUUUCUAUUUGUGAUAAUUCAUUUAUUUCUUUAUGUAUCUUUAUUGUAUUUAUGAUAAAAUUUUGGCGUGUUUCUACAGAAAUCAUUAAGAAACGGUUUAUCUUUACCCGAUUCGAAAUAACCUUAUCGCCCUUAAACCAACCUGUUUCUACAGACUGAACAAUCUGAUUAACUCGCAUUUCGCGUCACAAAUACGGCGGAAAUCGGAAAAUUCAACCUAUAACCUCACAUAGCAUCUCGCUAGGAAAAUUUUCAAAUUUUAUGGUAGAUCUCACUCAAUGUAGCAGGUAUACACAUUGUGCGAUCAGCUGGCAAGAUCGAAAAGGCCAGAAUAUAUGCAUACUGCGAAAUUGCACUUCCGGGUUCAAGCACUUCCGCCAGACACAAUACGCUAUUUUGCCCUGUGUUUUUACAGAAAAUUUAAACGGAUUAACAUGGCAAUAACCACCUCUCAGAGAUGGUUAUGACAAACCGUAUUUUGCGCGAUGCAGUUUAUCAAUAAACCGCAUCGCGUCUGUUUCUACAGGAAAGUUUUCCGGGAUUCUGGAUACUUACGCGUGUAAUACCUUUUAACGAUUCUAUGUAGAAACACGCCGUUUGAUAAUCUUUUUAGGUGAAAAGAAAAUAGAGAACGAUUUUGGGGUUCUAUUUUUUUUUUUUGGGGGGGGUACUAUUAUCCCCCUUUUGGGGAUAAUUAAUUUCUUCUAGGUUUGGUACCCUUUAUUCAUUUGGCCAUGUGAAGGCUAUCACACAUUUUGAGUUUAAUCUUCGAAACUUGGUGUUCAUUAGUUUGUUGUCCAAACUAUGUCUUUCAUGUAAAUUUGUUUAUAGGAAGAUUAACAUAAUAUCUAUGUGGAGUGCAAUCAUUGAUCUCUUGUAGAGCCGCACAGUCACAUGUAUUCAUAAUACUGGUGCUUUUAUGCCAUACUUGUCAAUACUCUUUUGUACUUAAACUUAUUAGUAAAAAAAAAUGUUUUAUUAAUGUAUGCAGAACAGUGGUUUUGCCAGGUACUCAAUCCAUGUAAAAAAAGCAAUCAGAGAGAAGAGGUUUAUUCUUGAAAAUGUUAGUCUUCAUUUGUUGUGUUUUUCAAUCAAACUCAGUCUUGAUACAUGUUUAUUUUUAGAUACCAAGAUUGACAGAAUAUAGAUGUCAUCGAGUAGCAAAGUCAUAUAUAUUCAUAACUUAUGUGCUUUAAUGAUAAAGUCUAUACUUGUGAAUACUCUGUGCUAUUUAUGCUUAAACUUCUUAUAGUAAAAACAUUUUAUUGACGUUCUUG